RNAcentral lists this ribosomal RNA (443 nucleotides) under uncultured bacterium. Its description in RNAcentral is "partial 16S ribosomal RNA". It matches the Rfam family "Bacterial small subunit ribosomal RNA", at positions 338 to 795 of the family's 1533-position model. The record is from RNAcentral.
CCUACGGGUGGCAGCAGUGGGGAAUAUUGGGCAAUGGGCGCAAGCCUGACCCAGCAACGCCGCGUGAAGGAAGAAGGCUUUCGGGUUGUAAACUUCUUUUCUCAGGGACGAUGAAAGUGACGGUACCUGAGGAAUAAGCCACGGCUAACUACGUGCCAGCCGCCGCGGUAAUACGUAGGUGGCAAGCGUUAUCCGGAUUUACUGGGUGUAAAGGGCGUGUAGGCGGGACAGCAAGUCAGAUGUGAAAACCACGGGCUCAACCCAUGGCCUGCAUUUGAAACUGUUGUUCUUGAGUGCUGGAGAGGCAGGCGGAAUUCCGUGUGUAGCGGUGAAAUGCGUAGAGAUUAGGAGGAACACCAGUGGCGAAGGCGGACUGCUGGACAGCAACUGACGCUGAGGCGCGAAAGCGUGGGGAGCAAACAGGAUUAGAUACCCUGGUAGUC